AAACUGUAGUAAGGUGAAAAAUGUAAAUAAAUUUAAAGCCUAAAAGUGCCUAAAUACAAGAGUGCGCUUGUGAACGGGAAUGAACCUGUUUCACACGUGAUGUCAGAGCUUAAGUAAAGUAUAGUAAAAUUAGAAUGAGAAUUAUAUCAUCGAAAGUAGUCUCAGAUAUCAGUGUUUACCAAAAAUCCUCGUCGACACGAACAAUGCCACUAAAUCCUAGAGGGCCUAAAAACAAGGGUGAGUGAGACUAAAAAUAAAGUUUGUAAAACCUUUUUGAAAAUGUAAUAACCCAUUGCCGUAAAACAAGUGUAGUGUCUAAAAUAUACAUACUACGUAUAGUAUGAAAAUACUUACCAUAGCCUGCAAUAUCUCAAGAAUGCAAUAGGUCACGACAUCUCGUAAAUAAACACAUAAUGUCAAGUAAUCACAUAAUUUCGCAUAAACAACAUAUCAUAUCGAGUGCUCAUCAACAUAUGUUGACACACGAGUUCAUGAAGAGGUAUUCUAACAUGAACUUGACUGGGUGUAACAAUGAUUUACGCUCUCGUACUACACUCACGUGAAGACUGCGCUAUGCGCAUCACAUACGAGUCCUAAUUUCCUAUAGCAGUCUAGGAUAGGACUAGCACCUACAAUGGAUCCAAAGUGAGUGUACGGUGCGAUGUGAACAUACACAUGAAGCCUGGCCCUAGCCCGGGCGAGUGCAAACACCAGUGUAGCACACGAUGAACAUAUAGCAUAAAUAUAGUCAUACCAUAAUGACUCGAUAAAUCUAGUCAACAACGUAUUAUUCAAAUAAAAUAUUUAUCAUGGUCGUUUAUAAAAUCUCUUAGUAGUACGCAUACCUGUGCAUCCCUUUGGUGACACACCCCGACCUGGAAAGGUCGAAGAAUGCUGGUCGUCACCGUGAGGUGAAAAUAACCAUAAGGGUAAGUAAUGUAAAAAGUGAAUAAAAUUAAAACUAAUUAAAACUAAACAGUGAAAGAGUGCGCAAUUCGUAGGUUGAACCCACUACAAUUAUUCAGAGCGUAAUAGACAGGAGACUACGAAAGAGUAGUCAAAGCAACCAAAGUACACUUAUUACAUAAUAGUGAUAAGUUCGUACGUCUAAACAUAAGGAAAUGUCAGAAUUGCCGUGAUUCCUCGAGUGCCACAAAGAGUACAGCUAUCUAGGUCCUGGAGGGGCGAAAAACAAAGUUGAGUGGGUCAGCAAAACAAGGCUUAUAAGAAAACCUUUAUCUUUGAAUAUACUCACCCCUCGCCAUAAAACAAGUAUAGUUUCCUCAAAACAUACUACGUAAGUAUGAAAUCCAAUAUAUCAGUCAUAUCUAGAAAUAUGCCAAGUAAAUGAUGUAUCAUAUGCCACAAUAAUAAUCAUGUGAUAAUCAAUAUAACUAAGUGCUCAUCCAUCUAAGCUGACACACAAGUUUGAACAUAUGGUUUCUGACACGAACAGGACUGGGUGUAAUCAAUAUGCUCUAGUACUACGAUCACGUGAAGACAGGUGCAAACGCACAUCACAUACAAGUCGGAUCGCCUAAUGCAAUCUACCCGACAAGACUGGCAUCCAAACUUGGAUCCAAGGUGAGCGAACGGUGCGGAUGUGAACAUACACGUGAAGGACUGGCCCUGGCCCUGGGGUGAGUACUAACACCGGGUGCAGCAAGAUGAGCAUGUACACAAGUACGUAUGAAUGCCAUGACAGUAAUAUCACAACCAUAUAGCAGCAUUUAUCACAAUUUAUAUCAUAAUAAUGAUACUAGGCAAGUUAGGCGUAAAAGUGAAGUAAAUACGCAUUUAUGGAAACUAUAAAUAUAUAUAGGUAUAAAACAACAGCCCACUCACAAGUACAUCGCUGGGUCGUAGCCCCCGAGCCUAGCUUGGCCUCGAAAAUCCUCGGAAUAAGUUUCCCCUAUAUGUGAUAUAACUAAAUAACAUUAAUUAAAGCACAUAACAGAAACCUAAAUAAAACCCCCAUAGUUUGCUCAAACCUAGGGUGUAAAUAUA
This 2007-nucleotide long non-coding RNA is filed under the name Malus domestica (apple). RNAcentral's name for it is "long non-coding RNA (MDOM_LNC008356)". Lineage: Eukaryota; Viridiplantae; Streptophyta; Magnoliopsida; Rosales; Rosaceae. The record is from RNAcentral.